AUCACUUCUCGGCCUUUUGGCUAAGAUCAAGUAUAGUAUCUGUUCUUUUUUUUUUCUAAAUAUUUUUUAAAUUAUCUUUAUUUUUAUUUAUUUAUUGGAUAGAGACAGCCAGAAAUCAAGAGGGAAGGGGGAGAUAGAGAGGGAGAGAGACAGAGAGACACCUGCAGCUCUGCCUCACCACUU
Erinaceus europaeus (western European hedgehog) is the source of this 183-nucleotide non-coding RNA. Lineage: Eukaryota; Metazoa; Chordata; Mammalia; Eulipotyphla; Erinaceidae. The record is from Rfam.